AACGGCCGCGGUAUCUUAACCGUGCAAAGGUAGCAUAAUCAAUUGUCUCUUAAAUUGGGACUAGUAUGAACGGCACCACGAGGGUUUAACUGUCUCCCCCUUUUAAUCAAUGAAAUUAAUCUUCCCGUGAAGAACCGGGAAUACAGCUAUAAGACGAGAAGACCCCGUGGAGCUUUAAACUUAUUAUCACUUAUUUACUAAUACAACAUGCUACAAGAUAAAAAUGUCUCAAAUAGUUUUUGGUUGGGGCGACCCUGGAGAAAAGUAAAUCCUCCAGAUCGAAAGGGUUAACUACCCUCAUAUAAGAACCACAAUUCAAAUAAACAAAAAUUUGACAAAACUGACCCAGAAUUAACUGAUCAGUGAACCAAGUUACCCCGGGGAUAACAGCGCAAUCCAUUUCAAGAGCCCAUAUCGACAAAUGGGUUUACGACCUCGAUGUUGGAUCAGGGGAUCCUAGCAGCGCAGCAGUUGCUAAUGGUC
Molecule: ribosomal RNA, 483 nt
Filed under: Hyperolius lateralis (Munsenene reed frog)
Lineage: Eukaryota; Metazoa; Chordata; Amphibia; Anura; Hyperoliidae
Description: partial 16S ribosomal RNA
Rfam family: Bacterial large subunit ribosomal RNA
Source: RNAcentral